RNAcentral lists this long non-coding RNA (672 nucleotides) under Brachypodium distachyon (stiff brome). RNAcentral describes it as "long non-coding RNA (BDIS_LNC002272)". Lineage: Eukaryota; Viridiplantae; Streptophyta; Magnoliopsida; Poales; Poaceae. The record is from RNAcentral.
AUGCAGAAUUUGUUUUUUUCGCUGCUACCAAAUGAAAUUGACUUUAGACUUGAAAUUUUACACAUAUUUCUAGCAUCAAUUUUCUAACAUAUGUGAUUUUUUUGAGAAUUUUUUGAAUUUUUUUGGUGGAGUUCUCACGGUUUGCACCGAACGAGGGUUUUCACCUGAUAUUUCACCCAUAUAUAUUUGUUAGCUUAUGUCAUUUUUCAAAGAAAUAAACCAUAUAUAUUAUAAAGGUUUAGCAGGAAUUUUCGAGCCAGUGGGCUCUACCCACUGAUUUCCAUUAAAGAAACCGUCCAGAACAACAAAAAGAGCUGCCAUGCUAUGUAAGCUGCCUUUUCGUCAUUGGCGCCCAUCCAAAGCUCCUCGCAUAUGCUUCAGAUAUCACCAUUUCCAGCAUCUGAGCAGCCUUCUCCAGCUUCCUCCUAUUUGUGUCUUUCUGUAAGUGAGCCCAGGAGAAGAUGUUAGUACACAAAUGAAACCCCACAGAAGAAGGGAAUAUAUGUUUAAAAAGCAGGAAUACAAAAUCAGAUCUUGUCCUCUUCAAUUUCAGCCCACCCAAAGGUUUAGCAUGAAUACAAAGCACCGUAAACAUAAUAAAAAUUACAUCGAGGUUGCUAAUGUUACGAGCCUGAUCUGUUGGGACGAGGCUCAAAUGAAUAUUGGUGCUAA